CCCUGUUCAAAAUGCAGCAAAAUAUGCAAGUCGAAAGGCGGAUUGACCAGGCACACUAAUUCGAAACAUGGCGAUAGUGUUUCAAUUCCUUCGACUACAACACCGCUUUGUUAUGAGACCAUAACUUCGAUUGUGGAUACGAUAAAAGAAAACAUUGUUAAAGAGAAGCUGUACGGGGAAAAUAUAAAUGCUGCGGUGGAAAAGGCUAUAGCGACUAAAGAAUUGUUCGACGAAGUGUUGCCUUUAUACACAAAAUUUUCUCGAAGCCGAAAUCAAGAUAAACUUCUCCAGUCGUUUUAUGGGUUAAUGCCAAAGUCCGCGGAAUUACUAAACUGUACGGAUUCGCGAGUUGCAAACCUUGUCAUGAUCCACAUCCCCGAUCAUUUGGUUGGAUUUUUAAACGUGCAAAAUGUUUCCCAAGAAAGAGACACAGAAUCUGCACCUGACUGCAAAAUUGAGCCAAGCGAACAUGGUCCUCUCUCCUAUAUUUCAGGGUAUGUAAUUUCAAAGUUAAGUAGAGCAUCAAAGUCUAAAGAGGAAAACAAUGAACUUCAAACCUUGUUACAGAAUUUAAAAUCAGAACAAGAAAACAACAGUUACAUUUUAGCCCGAACAAGAGGUGGUCUUGUAACACCUUGUGAGGAUAUUGUAAGAAUUUUACAUGAAGCAGAGAUUUGUUUCAGAAAGGAAGUUGACAAGUCAAAGCUGGCUAUUCGAAACAUUCCUGUCGAUGCAAUCUGCUAUUCCACCCUUUCCUUACCAAUUGUCAAGUCAUUAUGGCAAAAUAUUGUUAUGUCAUCUGGUGUCAAUCCAUCUGGUGAUACCCAGAAGUUAUGCCUUGAAAACAUUGUCAAACUGUAUUUGAAGGUGAGAUCAUUCUCAUAUGCCAGAGACUAUAUCUCCCGACAUAGAAUAAAAGAGAAGCAAAACAAAAAGAAAGGGCUGAGAAAGGAUUUGAAACAAAGUUCGGACAAGUCAUAAACAUGUAGACAGAACAAUAUAAAUAUGCUAUGUCAAUAUCCUUUUUUCAUGUUUAUAUACUUUAAAUAUAUUAUCUAUAUUAUAUUUUUUGGAUUCUGGUCUUAUUUUAACCAUCAAGACUUAGCCUGUUAGCCAGGUCCCUAGGUCCUUUCACUUUAUUCAAAUUUGAUUGCUAUAAUAACAAUAUACAGCUAAUUCAAAAACUUAAACCCUGACCGUGCGAGGGAUGAUGGGUUAUUGCUUAUUUAGACUCAAACUAUGAAAUUUGGCUUUGCGAGACUACCUAAGACAUAUAGAAGACUCACGACAGAAAACAUACUUGCCGCAAAGACAAUUUUCCGAGUUUAAGGGUCUAAUAAGUGAAAACCCAUCAUCCCUUGCGCGCUCAGAGUUUAAAGGUUUUAGAAGGAC
Non-coding RNA from Paramuricea clavata, 1392 nucleotides. Lineage: Eukaryota; Metazoa; Cnidaria; Anthozoa; Malacalcyonacea; Plexauridae. The record is from the annotation of a GenBank genome assembly.